GACAGAGGGUGCAAGCGUUGUCCGGAUUUAUUGGGUUUAAAGGGUGCGUAGGCGGCCUUGUGAGUCAGUGGUGAAAUACUCUAGCUUAACUAGAGGGGUGCCAUUGAUACUGCAGGGCUUGAGUUAAGUUGAAGUUGGCGGAAUUGACGGUGUAGCGGUGAAAUGCUUAGAUAUCGUCAAGAACACCUAUUGCGUAGGCAGCUAACUAAGCUUUAACUGACGCUGAGGCACGAAAGUGUGGGGAUCAAACAGA
This 253-nucleotide ribosomal RNA is filed under the name uncultured bacterium. Its description in RNAcentral is "partial 16S ribosomal RNA". It matches the Rfam family "Bacterial small subunit ribosomal RNA", at positions 524 to 776 of the family's 1533-position model. The record is from RNAcentral.